AACGCUGGCGGCGUGCUUAACACAUGCAAGUCGAACGAUGACGAUGGUGCUUGCACCGUCUGAUUAGUGGCGAACGGGUGAGUAACACGUGAGUAACCUGCCCUCCUCUUCGGGAUAACCGCCGGAAACGGUGGCUAAUACCGGAUAUGAAUGCCUGCCGCAUGGUGGGUGCUGGAAAGAUAUAUCGGUGGGGGAUGGACUCGCGGCCUAUCAGUUUGUUGGUGAGGUAAUGGCUCACCAAGGCGAUGACGGGUAGCCGGCCUGAGAGGGCGACCGGCCACACUGGGACUGAGACACGGCCCAGACUCCUACGGGAGGCAGCAGUGGGGAAUAUUGCACAAUGGGCGAAAGCCUGAUGCAGCGACGCCGCGUGGGGGAUGACGGCCUUCGGGUUGUAAACCUCUUUCAGCAGGGAAGAAGCGAGAGUGACGGUACCUGCAGAAGAAGCGCCGGCUAACUACGUGCCAGCCGCUGC
This 475-nucleotide ribosomal RNA is filed under the name uncultured bacterium. RNAcentral's name for it is "bacterial SSU rRNA". It matches the Rfam family "Bacterial small subunit ribosomal RNA", at positions 32 to 518 of the family's 1533-position model. The record is from RNAcentral.